CAAAGACGAGGCGCUGCAGCUGGAAGCGAAAGGACGGUCGACGAGCGCACCGCCAUCGCUGGUGCACGCACACGUGAAGGAGUUCGUGUCUGCGGUGUCCCAACCGCUCCCCCUUCCCUUCUCGGCCCAUACAGAUACGCAUCUUUCGGCAAACCCGGAUCAGAAGCUGUGAGGUCAAAUGAGUUCUUCGGAUCUCAUCCAGGAGGACGACUACGUCUUCAUCAGCGGCGGAGGGUCGAACAAGAUUGUGCAGGUCAAAAAGGAUGUAACGGUGCGCCUCGGGCGAUCUGGUGCAGCACUCGCCACGACGCUGAUUGGCAUGCGCUACGGUGGCGUAUGCCACCUCGACCACGCUCGAAAGAAGUUCAUGGAGAGCGAUGAGUAUCCGGAUCUGGACAUCACCGAGGUCGGGGAUGGCGAGGAGGUGAAAGACAAUCGCGACUUAGUGGAUGACAACACGAAUCAGCAGCUCUCCAACGACGAGGUAGCGGCGAUUCGUCGCGAGAAAGGCCUCGACCAGCUCCUCCAAACACUAGUGGAAAAGAGUGCCAGCUACCGCACCAAAACUAACUUUGCGCAGGAGAAGUACCUCAAAAAGAAGCAAAAGAAGUACGGCACCCUCUUCAAGGUCGAGCGCGUAACCGUCGACAAUCUGGCGGAGCUCCACGUCCCCACCAUCAACCCUUCGGACAACACGUCUGAAGAGGCGCGGUGCCUUCGACUGCGCGCCGACACGGUGGCUCUGAUUCUGCAUCAUAGCGACGUGCAUCACAACAGCCGUGUUAUUCUGUACGAGAAGACGAACGGUGUGCUGCCGGCAAGCCUACUCACGCGCAUGUCGGACGAGGGCCGCAUCUUCCAGAUCCUAGACAAGAACGCGCAGCCGAACCCGAUGACUGCCAUCAAGGUGCUUAAGCUCCCCCUCGUCAAGGAACGGUGGAAGGCGGUGCCCCGCAACCCUGGAUUUCUUGAAGGUUUGGAAGAACCGGACAAGGAGUCGGCGAGGGGCACCGCUGAGGCGGCUGAGAAGAACGCCGCCGGCGCUGCCGCAGGGAAGGGGCUGAGGCGUCAAGACACCUGUGCUAGUUCGACGCAGUGGGUGAAGGGGCUCGAGGCGCGGCAGCUCCUGCUCGAGAGUCCGGCGGACUCCCUUGUCAUCUGCGACGACGAAUCGCCGCAACGCGCCGUGGCGGACCUGCUCCCCUUCCUGGCGUUUGGUGGCCACAUUGUCGUCUACAGCCCGUUCCCUGAAGACCUCACCGGCAUCUUUCUCGCGCUGCGCGACAACUGUGUGAACCUUCAAAUAUCCGAAACGUGGUACCGCCAUCACCAAGUGCUGCCGAAGCGCACCCACCCCACCGUGAACAUGAGCACAGCGGCCGGGUAUCUUCUGACGGCGAUCAAGGUGUGCCGGAGCCCAGCGGUACCGCGGUGGGCUGCGGCGGUAACGGCACCUGCUCUAUCAGCCACGACGCACGCAGGUCACAAAAGGUCAGCUGCCGAGGAGCUCAACGGCAUGGCUUCGAAGAAGUCUGCGAACGUGGAAACCUCGGACGAGGGAAACGCCAACUGAAUCGAGUCGCCACCCAUGCUCUUCUGCUGCCCGUCGCACGCCCCCAUGCACCUUCCCGGCUCUGUAUGCCUCUGCCGGUCAGUGUGCGUUGGCGUUCGUGUGUGCGCCUGUGUCUGUUUAGCAAUCUAGUAAGUCGAUUAAGCAAGAAAAGAAUAUG
This 1730-nucleotide unclassified non-coding RNA is filed under the name Leishmania donovani. Its description in RNAcentral is "gene:LdHU3.36.7960(CDS-product:Gcd10p_family_puta tive)". The record is from RNAcentral. Lineage: Eukaryota; Euglenozoa; Kinetoplastea; Trypanosomatida; Trypanosomatidae.